Molecule: long non-coding RNA, 18225 nt
Organism: Dromaius novaehollandiae (emu)
Lineage: Eukaryota; Metazoa; Chordata; Aves; Casuariiformes; Dromaiidae
Exons: 6
Source: RefSeq, a predicted model, not a curated record
CUGCCUAGUGUGCAAACUGACUGGAUGAGCCAGUGCUUAAGCUCACCAAGUUUAAGCAAGAGAGAAAGUUCAGCCCUUUGCCUCCUGCAGUCCCAAGGUGCAGUAAGAUGAGGCAGGGCUAUGGCCCAAGUCCUCCAGCAACUAUUUCAAAACGCUUUGCAGUGGCAUCAUAGGAGUGAUCUCAACGUGGAUAUCUGGAACCCAGCACGGACUACACCAUGCUUUAUCCAAUGUUUCCUCUGCUGUCACAGAGGCACUGGUAAUGCGACGUGUAAUUUCAUUUCUCGAGCCCGCGCUUCCGUGCCCCGCGCCGCGAGGGGUGUCACCGCUCCCUUCGAACUCCCGGCUGCGGCUCCCAUCGCGCCACUGCUGCGGCUCCGGUUUUCUCCGUGUGGACAUCUAACAUGGGAGCAAUGAGCAUAAUUCCUAACAAGCUGCCAAAGGAGCAUAGCAGGACUGAGCCAUACUGAGACAGUAAACACUAACAGAGACAAUUUAUCACUUGGCAAAAUGUUUUUGCUGGUAUUUGGCUCCGAUAAGCCAAGGGCUCUUGCAGUGCCUGCCUAAAUCUGAUUUUGUUUGCGAGCAGCGUGAGCGCUGCGGUGACCUUUGCCUCGGCGGCCGAGCUCUGCGGCUCCGGGAAGGUUCACGAGGGGGUCACGGAGCGGCCGGCUUCCUCCGCGCGCGCGUGUGCGCCCGCCUGCGGACACCUUUCCGCCCGCGCCGCGGGAGGGCUGGCCCUGCCCCGCCCAGCCUCGCGCCGCGUUCCUGGGCACGUCUGCACCCUCCUGCGCCAGCCCCAGCACCGGGCCGGUCUGCAGAGCGGCACCCGUCGCUUCACGUGCACCCAGCGCCUUCCUGGCCCUGCUUUCCCCUGGCGAUCGCUUCCUAUUUCGCUUUGAAGUUUUGCUCGGUUCCGAUACAUCGUUAGCUUAAGGAAAUGUCACUGCACAUCAUACUUGAUUUUGUAAACCAAAAAUGUGGCUAGAAACAGAAAAAAACCACAGAAGAAACAGCUAAAAUGCUCUUUUCUUAAAUAGACAGUGAAUAUGCAUCCCUACGUCAGCUUAUGCUGGCAUACUUGCGUGAGACAAAUAAAAAUGAUAUCUGGCGUGUUCUUCAGCCGGUUCCUUGCAGCGAUACGCCGCGCGGGAAGUGGCUGGCUGCUCGCUGGAAGCGCGUGGCGGCGAGAAGGAGAGAUCUCGCCGUUUGUCACUGGCCGUACAUCACUGCAGCUGUGCCCUUUGAUUACACAGAGGCCUCCUCCAGCCAUUAAUAAUCGGGAAUACUUUUUGCCUGGCGCAUGCAUCUCAGCGCAGGCCUCUAGCACCUAAGCUUUUCAGCGAGGUAGAAAAGAGGUAGCUAUCCCAUCAUGAAGGCCACAACUGGAUUUGCACUGGAGGAAAGGCUUCUGCAAAGCGCAGUUGUUUUGGAGCUAUUCCAAAUAUCACACAGAAAAGUAUCGUUCCUGUCUCUGCAUCUAUCCUCAAAUGCUGCCCUCUAUUUAUAUUUUGGUAGAACCCACAGUUACUUCAUUGAUGGUCUUCUGACGACGAUAUGGUCCUCUUAAAUCUGUGCUGACAACUUAUUUAGGUCAUGGAGUCAGAGUUUAAUUUCCUCAAGUUAGAUUUAUUCCCACAAGCCGUAAAGAAAUAAGAAAGCACAUGCUUGUUGCUGAUGCAGACGCAGAGCUGAAAAUCUCCGAGGUACAGGAUUUGGCUGGCGCGCCGGUGCUCUCUUUGCAGCCGCAGUUCGUCCCCUCGCGAUUUGCAGACCUGGAGGGGGAGACAACCGCAGAGCGCUGCCCGGGCGCCGGCGGCCGGCCCGCGGGCGCUGCUGCCCACCGGGGCGCUGCGCGUCACGCUUCGCCGAGCCCUGGCUGCAGGCGGUAAGACAGUACAUCAUCCUAGAAACUGCAGUAAAUCCUUGGCAAGAGAGCACAUCCUGAGUAAGUGAAUAGCAUAAUAUAUAUGAAAUAGUAAAAUAUUUUAUUUUUAUAUAGCACCAUUCUUCCGCAGACAUAUAACUCAGAUGAGAAAUAUCACCUGUAUAUAUGAAUAACCAAAUAAGAAUUAAUUAGCUGUGAUUGACUAAGUUUCACCGAGAGAACAUAUCAGUCAGUAUAAUUUAUUUUUCUAUAAAACCAGGAAACUAUGCAAAGCUUACUUUCUGCUAUUUUUGUAAUCUACCUGCUCCAAAUACAGUUAUUAUAUUGGUCACUGAAUUUAAAUGAUGAAUUUCUCUGCUUUUAAAGCUAAGAGAAAAAGAUCACUAAAUUUCUUAUCAGGAGCUAGUGAUAUACUUUUCAAAAAUGCACAGCAUCUUGAAAGUUUGGUUUCAUAUCACCAUUUAUAUUCCUGAGAAAUAGACAUGUCUCACAUUCUGUAGCAGUGUUUUGUGACAUGUGGAUUUACAAUGUUCAAGUUUAAGUCUCUAGCCCUUUGCAGUCUGUCAAAAACAGCUUCUCUGUCCAUUUAUUUUUGUCUUCUGCGCUCAGUCUGAAUAUCUUUUGUAAAUUUAUACUUGACAUCCCUCGUAUUUCAGCAGCUGGCUUUGUUUCACAAUCUACCUUGCUUGCUCUGUUGCAUUAGCUGAAACAACAAAUUUAAUCCAUGAUGUCAAUAGUAAAUUAUAGUGGAGAUGUAAUAUAUGCCUGACAUCACGAAGGUCAAGGCCAUGGUGAAAAUACUGCAAAUAAUAGAUCCAAAGGGUCUUCUCACAGUGGUAGCUGCUUGCUGCACAUUUAAUGUUACGAGGAACAGAUUAGUGCCGCAUACUGCAUUAUGUUAGCCUUUUAGUUACAGCCAGUAUAAAACUCCAGCUAAUGUAAGACAGCUCCCACAACACGAAUAGAGGUUCCAGAGAAGUUUGCUAUGUCAUUAUAUUUCAUAUUCGCUAACUGAUAAAUAAUUAAAACAAGAAUUACUUUACCGAAAAGAUUCAUUUGAAGCACACAUUUUCCAUUACUCUAACUGUUUGGAGGGGUUGGGGGAAACAUUUAUUGCAUACCUUACCUAAACUACCUUGCCAUUAAAGUAGCUAAAUUACCUCAGUGAAUUCUGAGCACAGAAGUAGUUGAUGAAUUGCUUUUUGCAUAAAUGCACUUUCUCUUUGCUAGAACCUAAUUUUGUGUAUAAAUACACAUGUGCGCGCCCACACGCACACACAGAGAUAUGCACAGAAUAAAGCCACUACUGAACUCUCUCAAGAAGAAAAAUUGAAGCCUGGAAUUUUCUCUGUGUAAUGAAGUUUUUCAAAACGUUGCUUGUGUUACAAGCAUCCUCCGACUCUCUGAGGACAGGCCAAAAAUGGGCUCUUCUACAAUGGCGAAAGAGCAGUUAAUGAAUCAUUUUCUCCUGUGUGAAAGUGCUCGUUCCUGUUAAUUUGUCCCUUUUUACAGCCAGGGCUUUUUUUAAUAUAAAAAUUUGCAUUCAGUUAAAAAGCCAGUUUGGUGCCAAAGAGGGAAAAAAAAAAUUCAUGCCAAGUGAACCAUAAACAAAUUCAAUGUCAGUUCAAUGUGUGGCAGAAUAAGGAGAUUUCCAUUCCUUCAAGCUCUCUUAUUUGUUUUAUCUGGCGUAAAGAGGAUCAACAACCAAGGACUUUCAAUCUACAAAUCAUCCCUUUAACUUGGCUCUAAAGUAUUCUCAUUCCUUAACAAGAAAGGAGGGGCCAAAUUUAAGAAGCCUCAGCAUAUCCCUUAGGCCAGGGGCCAGCUACAGCAUCGGGCUUUCUACAUGCCCUGCCUGGAUGUCUUUAAUGGAUGCGGUGGGUUUGCUCCUCAGAGGAGUGGGUCGCCUUUUGCUCCCGGUCUUCAUAGCACUGGAUGGAGGAACGCGGGUGCAGGUUGUGCCUUUUGGCCUCUGUUUCAGCACAGGGCUGGUUUUAAGAAUGUGAGUAGCCCCACGGGGAACACGCAGGGGAAAAUGCUUGACCCUCCUGAAUCGAGGUCAUUAUGUACAAAUCCGCAUUUUGGGAAAUAUGGGGAUUUACCGUCUUUGAAGGAGCUUCGAUCACCACCUGCCUCUGCCUGCGUUCCUUUGUCCUUCGUUCAAAUCCAUGCCAGACUAAGGCGACCAAAAGGUAUUGCCAUUUAUCUUGUCACUGUAUUUGGUGCUCUGCAAGCAGUGAGUUGACAGGUUCAGUUCGGUUCCUUGUGAGUCCUGUGUCCACACCACUUCUUGCGCAUUGGGCUAAAUUUUAUUGAUACCUGUGUUAGCAAAAGUGCCUGAGGAAUGGACGCACAGGUAGACCGGGUGAAAGUCCUGUCGAGAAGCUGUUUGGCAAGGCUAAGUGGGGCACAGUGAUGGAAGGCAGUUACCCAGUCUUGCGCUUUUAACCUCUGAGCCGGUCCCCUAGUAAGGGUAGUUUUCAUUAUAGAUAAUUUGCCCUGAAGGUAUUGCUUUAAGGAUAUCAAGAAGAACCGCAAACAUUCAAGUUCCUGUGAUAUUCUCUUACCUGCAAACAAAAACUAGAAAGAGGAGUUGGUUGCUGAUGGAACCCAUGAGCAGUCUCAGUGUGGGCCGCUUCGACGGCUGUGUAAUCUUGCCCCUAAAGGAGGUUUAAAUAAUGCUGUUAUGUGCUGAUGCUCUUAGCGUUUGCUUUGGUGCGUGAUGUACGGCCAGCGUCUGCUCCAAGAAUCAACAAAUGUGCAUUAUUCCAUUAGCAAUUUUCCAUUUUCUAUAAAGCUUUACAAUUUAUUAGGGUUAUUUAUGUUAAUGUACUAGUGCCUUAUUUUACGUAUUUAUAAUAUCUUCUUCUUUCCUCUGCCCUGAAAAGCAAUGACAAGUUUAGGUGUUGCAGAUCAGUCUGGCUUACAUAACAUUCACAGAUGUUCUUUAUAAAAACUGUGUCGUAGAGAGUCCUGUCUAAGCUUGGAACUGCCACUUUAAUUCAGGUGAAACUCUUACUGGCAUCCCAACAAGCAUAACGAUUUUCCAGUCCUCUGCACCCUCUUUCCUGCUGUUUUUUUAGGAAGGAUGGGAAACUCCAGCAGUAUGAGCAGAGAUUUUUUUUUUUUUUUAAAACAGUAAAAGCUGAGAGAAGUGUAGAAACAGGAGGCUCAAGAAAAGUUUUCUUGCUUUGAAGAUGUGAAUGAGAAGGUUUUGGUAGGAGAAGAAGGGACUCAUAGGGAGCAGCAUGGCACAGUCCCAGCAGGUACCUAAGCGCGUAUCUAUUCAACCAAACUGUUGUUGAUUUUGCUAGUUAUCCAGCAGCUGAUUCCUGCACCUUUUUACCACAGGGACAUCACUCUGGGCCAGGUGCAAGUCCAGGCACCGGUUAGCGUGCUGGUGUGCGUAGCGCGGGAUGCUAAGGCUGUCUUGGAUUGAUACUGGAGCAUGGCUGGCCUGAUCUCUGCCCAGCACUACAGUUUAAAAGCAUGUGUGUGAGGUAAUUAGAGGGAGUUUCACAUUUCAGGAUGCAAAUUGUGUGGUUUUCCCAUGUGUAACUUCUGUUUAUAUUUUUAGCAGUGCUUAUGUUUCCUAUCCACACAUAAUGUAUGUUUUUGGGUAGGUUAGCUUAACUGUUAAGCUAAUAGUUUACCCAUUUUAUUGUUGAAUUUUGAUCUCUGUCAUUUUUAGUUGUACACCUGCACUUGCAAGUGGACAUGUCCUUGAAAACAAUGAUAGAGCAAGAAUAUAUUUUAGUUAGAAAGGCCAAUGAAAAUAACACAGAAUGGUGGACUUGUACUCUGGAGUUUUCCAUAUUGUUUCCUCACUGUAGCUUUCUCAGGUGACUUCCUAACGCUGCAAGAAAGGAUAACUGGUCUACUUAAAAUGCCUUGCUGCUAAAAUAUGAAUACACUGUUUCAGCCAUAAAACUGCUUUAUCUGUGGAAUGGUUUCGCUGAAAUGAAUUUAUCCAAACGCCUUUUGAUGAGCCACAGACCACAUCUGGCUUCCCCUUCUUCUGCCCCAGCAGCUUGACUCAGUUUCAGCCACAUCAGUUCCUAAAUUCCUGUGUAAAACAGCAAAGGAGGAUGCCAUGCAUACGAUAACCCCUUAUUAACGCGAAACUGCAUCGACACUGACAGCUCGCUCACACAGGCCACCUAACCGCCAUCAGAUGCUGAGGGGUGUCAGCCUCUGCUGAGGGGACAUCAGUGGAUCCCAGUGACGGAGAGCUGUGCCCUCUUUCCAGUGCCCCGCAUGUUCCCACUUCCAGAAGGCACCUGUGGACCCACAUCCAGCAGCUUCCAACACAUUUCUAUUUAUUUGCCUUUUCAGCUGACUUCAUUAUUAUUCUUGAUAUUUCUGAAACCAUUUUUCAGAUAUAAAGAAAUCCUUCCCUUUCCAAGGAUAUUUCCAAGGCUGUGGACUAUUUAGGACUCUACUGACCAUGAGUAUUAUUUAUUUAAAUGUAAAUUUCUCCAAAUCACAAAGUUUAACAGAAUCUGCACAAUGAUCCAUAAGAUUCAGUUAGCAUUUUUAUUUGUUCUAAAUGCCCUGAAAGGAGGAGUUUCAUCUCCAAAAUAACAGAAAAGUCUACCAUGAUCUUAUAACACCUGUAGUGUUUAUGAUUCUCCUUCGAAUAUCAGGAGUUUCUUAAGAGUCCUGAUGGGAUAUCAUGCAUGGUCAUGGUCUGUUGAUGGGAUGACAGGACAUCUGUGGUCAGACGAAAUCUGAUCCACAAGGGUAAAGUAACAGUGCGGAACACAAUGUUCACCUUUACAGAAAGAAAAUGAUGUCUACAUUGCUGUAGCAAUGCUGCUUCUUAUAAAACCCGCUACCAUUUUAGCUAAAUAGUAAUAUCUGUACUUAAUUUAGCUGAGUUGGAUCUUAUAAUCUGAAUUAUUUUGGUCAACCGCUUAGAACAAAAUGCUUUCUUUCAUGAAAUGACUUUAAAAACACCCUAAGAGCCCCCAGACAAGAAUAGCAGCUGGGUUUGGUUUCAUUUUCAGAGAACUGAUUAGAAAAUGAGGUUUUCUACGCUGCGACAGUUAAUGGUUAAAAACAACAGUAAUCAGAAGCUAGGCCCUAGUCUGGUCCAAUGGACUUGUGGAUUCCUUCCGUUAGAGCCUGUCCUCAGAGAUUUCCUUCUGCAAGCACAUUCUCCACACCAGGAGUCAUUCUUUUUUUGAGAAACAGUUCCCAAGAAGAAAGCUUUCUUGGUAGGGAGUGCCUACCAUAGAGGGAGCUCCCACCACGUCGUAAGCCCUCAUGAGUUCUUCAUAUCCUUCCUAAUGGACAAGGAGUGUGCAGAUCUAGUUGUUCAAGUGAGAUGGAUCAUCUGAAAUCAGUAGGGGAAAAGCGUCAUUCAGCUUGGGAGGUCAAGUCCAGCUAGAGUUUAGCUGCAUCCCCCUCUUCCAUGGCACCCCCUGCCUCCGUCGCUCCUGCCCUGGCUCCUUUGGGAGCCGUAGCAGCUCCAGGGAGCUCCCAGCUGAUGGAGGGAGCUAAUUCCUCCCUCGCAACACUCACAACACCUCCGAAGGUACGUUGGGUUCCUCAGCUGCAGCGAGCGCAGGAGCAAGGGCAGCGGGUGGGUUUUGGUUGGGGCCGCAGUGCGCACAAAGAAGAGCUCGUGUUGCGGACCCAGAGUUUCAAUGGCUCCUCUAUUCGCAGGCUCAUCAAUGCCCACGCUUUCGGUUCCCGUCCCAGGGCUAGACUGUACAUAACUAGCUAACUGUACACACUGCAGCCUUGCUCCCACAACUUCCACUCUUUCCAAAUGGCAGCCUUUCUGAAUUGAAUGUAUAAAAAUGUCCUUCUAUAAAAGGGAAAGAAAAUGAGAGUGCUGUUUUCUGCAGAAAACCCGGCUGAUUAAAAAAUAAAUAUAAGGGAAAUAUAUAGCAACCAAGUGUAAACUUUGUUUCUCUUCACUCUUGUAAAACUCCAAAAAACAAAUAGCCUCAGAAUGUGCUCUCUGUCUUGGGUCUUUGGGCAACAAGGGCACUCAGAGCUCAGAACACUGGCAGGAGUAAAUUACAAGCUGGUUCAUGGGGGAAAAAAUUGGAGUCAUUUUUGUGUUGUUUGCAGAACUGUAUAUCUUGCUAGGGCUUGAAAAACACUGCUUUGGAUUUCCCAUUUAAAUUGCUCAUAGAGCAGGUAGCUUCUUUGGGGAAGCUAAGAAACAAAUUAAAAUGUUGUUUGUGGCCACUGAAACACACUGAAAGCAUAUACUAAUUAUGACAAACGUUAUUCUUACGGAUGUAACCAUAUGCUGCUGCCAUAAAUUACUAUUUGCAUUGCAGCAGCACCCUAGGCUAUGUCUGAAAGAGGAGACUCGGGAGUGCCCCUGGACAGUAGCCCCAGAGGCUGGGGUGAUGGCUCCAGCCAUGUCCAAGCCUCAUGGCAGGUGACCCGGCCGUGCUCCGGUUUUCUUCCCCCAGCUCCUCCUUUAACCUCGUAUUCCCACCAAAUGGCAAUCCACGGGCGCUGACGGGAGCUGCGCGUGCUCCAGCACCUAUCUCGCCAGGGUGCCGGGGCACCGGUGCCCAGCACGCGCUGUCCACUGCUCUGGCCCGGGGGUAAGUGCAGCCCUUAAAGAGCCCACCAUGAGCAGCACCUCGCGGUACGGGGAGCUGCAAGAACCCAGAGCUGCCUUCGCGGUCCCUGCAUCAGUGCAUUACAGCCUUGUAUACAAAAAGAACGUGCUUCAUGCUGACAAAAAUAGUCAAAAAAGUGUUUUGGAGUAUUAUUUGUUUUGGGGAAAGUGAAGUUUAAAUUGUAAAAUACAUAACAAAAUACUGAACUGUUUGACCUUGCUCAGGCAUAAAUGGGUAAGUUGUUGCUGAUGUCUGGGAACCUUCUCCUUAGAUAAUUUUUUGGUGCUUAUUUGUCAAAAUGAGACAUUUUCAAAGGAAAAUUUCAAUGAAUGCUUUCUGAAGAAAGGUUUCUCAGCUUCACUUUGUGGUUAAAACCAGAGAUAAAAGGGAACAGACAGACUCAGAAGAGCCUGGCAGGAGGGUCACUGACUUAAACCAGAGGAGACCUGCCGUUAAGUGGGUGCUGUCCUCAGCCCCUUCAAGAGGUUCACAGCAUGACCUGCAGCAUCCUGGAGCAGACCUGUGAGCUAUUUAUCUGUUUGUGUGUUCCCUUUGCUUUUCUGCUAUGGUCUCUCUUUCUUUCUAACUUGCAUUUUGCACAUUUAUUUAUUAAAAAAUAAAUGUUCUUUUUCUUUUUCUUUCUUUUUUUUUUUUUUUUAAAGUAACUUGGUCCUAUCCCAGUAGAGAACAGAAAAUUGUUAGAAAUCUUGAAAACUCUUGUGGGCCCAGAACAAGAUUUCUUUCCCAGCUCGCCAGGGGGGCAGAUCCUCCAUCACCUCUGAAAGUGGGGACAUACUAAAUGCUCAACAUGGGGGCUUCCAGUCUGAGCGGGUCAGUUCUUAUCUCUAAACCCAUUUUGUGAGGUCUCUCCAGCCCUGCUGAAACAGGCAUUAGCUUGCGUCAGCUGCUCUCCCAAAGACAAGGAAACCCCCUCCAAAACCACCUGGAGCUGCAGCAUAGCUUUGUGAUUGCUAAAGCCAGGCCUGUGCCCUGCCUUUCCUGCCCCAGCUCUGGAUAUUUAGAGCUGUAUAAGAUUCACUUUCAGACCACUACAGAAAUUCAAGACCCUACUUAUAGCAUGUGCAAGAUUUUCUGAAAAAAACCUGUGAAGAGACCUUACAUUUCCUUCCUCCUGGCAUUUGCGUCUGCUUUGCUGGCAGUGAGCUCUAAUUGCCAGGGACACAAUCGGCUGCGCGCUUACCUGUGAUUAAUAGACGUGAUCUUUCCAGAAUGAUAAAUGUCGGCAAGUAAAGACUGUGACUGUAUCUCUGUUACAUCACAGAUUAUCAAAAACCCUACAAUGUGCACAUGAUAAUAAGAAUCCAUGGGAGCUACGAGUGCUGCCUAAGAGUUCCUCCUGCCUGGAGUUUGAUUUUUAUGAGGCUCGGUGUGGGCAUGUCCUCCCUGGUGCUGGAAUUCAAUAGUUCCCUUCCUUAGCUGUUGCUCAGCUCCGUUCUGGUUAUUUCCCGCAGAUUCCUCUCUGAGAUCCCCUGUAGGCAGUGAGAGGGGUCGGUCCUCCGAGCAGAGGGACAAGCUGGUGCCCAAGGAGAAGCGCACACACUCCAGCGGGGAUCUUCUGGGCGGCAAGCAGGGAGGAACUGCCCUUCCUCACAGCAACUUGCAACCUUCUUCUUCCUCCCCUCUUUGCUGUGGUGGCACAAAAUCCCUCCCUCACAUUUUUGGCACAACGCCAGCUGCUAUUGCCAUUGCGGAGGCGGGUGGUUGGGGGCGCUGCGGCCAGGCCCUACCCGUUCCUUGGACCUGCUCGGCGUGAGAAGAAAGCCCCUUCCUACUGCAGCCCCCGUCCUUCCCUGCGCAUACAGGGCUGCAUCCUCCACGCGUCCAAGUCACGGCUGAAACCGGGGAGCCCACUUCACAAAGUUGUCCAAAAGUUCUUCAAAAUGGUGACCAUGGGCCUUGCUCGGUUUCCUGGGAGAUGGGACAGCACUUGAGACCUCCUCAUUGACUUGGCUUCCCCCAGGAUAGACUUGAAUAUUUAUCAUCAAAAUGAUAAAAUACAGUAACUGGAAAAACUACAGGCUGGAUUGGGUUGGUUCCUUGUAAUAUGGAGCAAACAUUUAAAUACAAAUGAGAGAGUUUUGUUAUUCCAGACCAGCCCUGACAGGCCUGCGACAUAGCCCAAGGCUUUGACUGGAGUGCCAGAAAGCUCAAAGGUGUUCAUCCUCAUAAUUUUGCUUAAAUCAUAUUGCCAGUACAAUGGCUUUAUUCAUGUUGCUUGUUCACAGCCUGCUCCGGAAACCUAGUCUCUUGCUAAAAGCUGGAAGCCUUCAAUGAGCCCCAGAGUGAGGGAGAGCAGGGGCACAGCCAGCGGCGACAAGGGGCUUGUCUUCAUGUGUGAUCACAUCAAGCUGCCUCGGACACUCAGUUGGGAAGGCUGCUACGUGCCCCAGCCCUCGGAGGGGAACCCGCGCCGGCGCCGGCCCCACCGGGGCUCCCUGCGGCCAGCACAACGGCGCGGGACCGUGGAGUUGCGGCACUUCAGAGACCUGCUGUGUCCCACAUCACAGGGUCACCAGCAACAGUCGUGUACAGCUAGGUAAAAAUACACUUUUUGAAACACCUAAACACAUUGGCCUUUGGUAAACAUUGUGUAGCUUUUUUGGUCUUGCAAGUAAAUAAUGCAAGUUUUCUACACAUCAAGAAAAUUCUCUGCUUUCCCCGCUUCACUUCAUAUUAUCAUAAGAAGAAAAGAAAUGACAGACAGCUAUUGUCCAAUUAAACAGACUGACUGAUGCUUUUAACAUUGAUAUUUCCUUUUUUUUUCCCCCCCUUCUACAUUUGGAAAUCAUAGAAAAGAAAUAGCAGCUCUACAACUUCAAAGCGCUUUGUAGCACUGGAUGUCAUUAGAGAUAUUUGAGCUGUUCUUCCUACCCCGACGGCUCUGGCUCUCACAUGCUGCACGCGCUGAACAACAGUAAGCAGAGAACAGAUGACGCUUUACUCAAGCAGCAAAGUUUGGGUGUAAACAUAUACCCGAAGGGACAUGGCUUUCCAGCGGAACAGUGGUACAGGGAGGGGAAGCUUUACUGUCCAGAGCAACCUGAAGACUUCAUACGCUUGACUUUGUUUCUGCCCCAGGCUGCCCGGUAUCCUGACGCAACUGGCUGCAUGGUUUGUGGGAGAAAAUGCCUCCCCCCGCCACCAUUUGGGAUGGACUUUCUACUUACAUAGCAAAGACAAAUUUUAAGUCAAAAGUAAAAAUACUGUUGGUUGUAUUCCCAGACAAUAGUCUCCACUGGCAAGAUAUUCCAGUUGCCAGUAAAAAAAUUUGGACAAACACUCCUGUUUGAAGCACUUCUGUGUUUCUGAGGGUUGGGGACCCCCCCCAUGGCCCAGCCACACCCUUACCUGCAACAGGAUAAGGCCAAAGCAGAGGUCUGUCCCUCAGGACCUCGCUCGCACUCUGUUAUAGGCAGCCUGACCCUUUUACUCGUCGUCCAGAUCUCAACCCUGCUGGAAGUAUCAACCGUCCCCUGCCCCUGCUGCCCUGCAUCAUCUCCUGCUGCUUCCCUCUGCUGUGGGCAUAAGCCAGAUGCUUCAGCGAAAGACAAAAACCCUAGGUGCGUGUACGCUCCCUGCCUGUCCCUCGUCUCCGCUCUCUCCAAGCACGGCACGUAUUUUCCGGCACAGCAGAGUGCACAGAGCAGCACAGCGGAGCACAGCGGCAGCAGCGCCGUGACCCGGCACGACACCGUGACGUCUCCUUCCCAGGGGCACGAGGCGGCUUUGCGCGUCCCCUGCACAUCGCCCUGAUCUCUUAGCGGGACAAGCGGUUUAGCCGGUUAUUUGUACGGACCUGCCUUGCCAUUUAACAGUUAAUGCAGCGCCUCGUACCGCGCGCAGCGCCGUGAGGCCUCGGAGGUGUCGCGCUUGGCGGGCACAGCUCACACUCGCAGCACCAUUACUUCAGCUUCCUGCAAGCUCGUUAGUUUACUCAGCCUUCAUGUCUGCCAGGCUAUUUUUGCAGUGACAAAGCCUGGAAACGUCAGGCCAAAUUCUCUGCCAGGACGGGCUGGCACGGCCCCAGCGCGCGCCGGGGCAGGGUGCGGGCAGCGGCCGGGCUCGGGGGGAGCAGACCCGGCUCCCACCGGGGACCCCCUGGGCGCGCGUCACACCCGGCGCCUCGCCUGUCGCACGGAUGCGUCGCCCCUUCAGCAGUAAAACGCCUCUAUGAGCUUGAAAGCCAUGAUUUUUCUUACCCAGCUUUUUGUGAUGGAAACCUGCUGUUUCUGCUUCUCCCCACUGCGGCGGCCAGGCGAGUGCCAGGCUCCCCAGCCCCCACGCUCGACCUGGCCGUGCCACCGAGCUGCGCGGCUGUGGCCGGCCGACAGCGCCCUGCACCACACACCAGCUGCUGGGAUGUUAUUCGGUCGUCUCUGAGCGCGGUGACUUGGGUGGACGCAGGGCUGGGGCGGCAGAAGCGCUACGCCGUGCCUCGAAGGCAGGCAGUAAGGGCGCUCUUUCAGAACGGCGCAUUAUCCGUAUGGAAAAUUCCCUCCAACCAGGAGAAUGUGAAGCUAGUAUUUUCAGGAUUACAUUUGUUCCAGUUUAAUGGGCUGUAUCUCGUAUGCACCGAAAGGGUGCUAAGCAAUGCUUCUGUAGUUACAGAUAGGUCAGUUUUUUCACUGUAAACACACUUUCUGGGAAUAUAGUUCAGCCACUUCAAUCCGCACCUGCCUGCAGCUCGCAGGACAAGCGCUGUGCCUGGGUGCAGUGCCUCCUCCCUAACCAGCGCUGUCUAAGCCAGCCAGGUUGCUCUUAGUUAAAGAGCUAUGAAUGCAAAGCGAUUUAUCUGGGCUCAGUUCAAAUACCGCCAUUCUUCUCUUGAGGAGGAAGAGAAGGACUUAAAACAGAGACGGGAAUUUCAGACAAGUUCCUUCUCUAAGAACACCCACUAGUUGCUAUGGAUGUAGAUCAGCUCAUUUUCAUAAUUAUUUCCAAUGCAGAGCACUGUCACAUCUGGCAGUGUCACAGGGAUAGCGCUAGAAUAUACACAGCGAAGCGUUUAGUCCAACGAGCAUAUUAAAUCCCAAAGAGGCGAGUGUGGCUUUCCAGUCCAAGAUAUGCACAGUGCACAUUACGCUGCUGAACAGUAGCAACAGAUCUUGUCUACACAUGGAGUUAUUUCUCCAAAAUCAUGUCUGGAUUCUCCCUAUUCCAGAAAAAAGUGUGUUUGAUGCUGUUUCAUUUAAGUCAUUUUCACUGUAAAUUAAAAAAAAACGGGAAGGAAGAAGUUUUAUUCUCGAGUAAGUGAGUCCAUACACAGAGCUCUUUAAAUACCUUCUAUACUAUAAAUUUACAUCCUACCUCAGUCUAACUCUGAACUGCAGAUAAAAUUGUAUUUAUAAAGAAUACAUCCUCAGGGGAUGAGAACUGUUGCUCAAAACGCCAUCCAAAUGUUGAAAAUGUAAUAUUUACACUGGAGAGGUGCCAUCCUCAUCUGGGAGGCUAAUGGAUCAGAAAAACCUGCCUACGAAAAGAUGACUGUGGGAGGGGCUGGGAGGUCAGCAGUUUCUUUUUUUCCCCCUCCCUUUUUAACAAAAUCGUACUUCCUGGUGUUACGGUUUAAAUUAGAUUUUAAGAAGUUCAUUAUGAGGCAUCUGUUUAAAAUAUCAAUAUUGAAAUACAAUUCAAUAACACUAAAUGUACAACAGCAAGAGAUGUGAAUUAAUACCGCCUCUCCCACUUACCCUGCCUCUUGCAUCAGUGUUUUGCGUGCACGCAACUACACGCAGCUUCCCACAUCUGCUGGGUCCUAAAGAGGGCCAUGGGCUGUGAACAGCCAGUCUUGCCUUUGAACGUCUUCCCACGCCCUUGCAUGGUCCAGAUCAGACCUGGUGGUCUUACAUACAGCAUAGAAUUCAACUUAGUUGAUUUACAUUAAUAUUUUAGUCAAAGUAGUUAUAGAAAGCCAAAAUGCUUUACGGCUUCUGUUUGCCAGUUUACGCCGGCUGUUGCUGUUUAUAUUACCUGGAGAAAAACGCAGCUAACAACACAUGCAGAUCAGUUGUGGAGGAGCUAAUUUUGGUUUCUUCUAAAGCCAACUUUGUAUCUCUUCCAUAUGGUUGAUACAAAAUAUUAUGACACAGCCAACGAAAACGUGACUCCAGUGAAGCCCAUGAGGUUAGCGGUUGACUUCAGGACCGCCAAGAUUUCAUCCAGUAUUUGUUUCUAUAGCAUAGGGUCCAGCUGCGCUGCAGCAACAAAAUAAAAACCUCAACAGCAACAAAAGCCCGAUGCUAUUAAUCAGCUCGGAAAGACCUGGCUAACGGACUGCAGGACAGGCCGCUGCCGGCCGCUGCGUGCCUCUAAAGCCUGCAAGCAGCCAGCGAAACCCCACCGAAGACGGACACGUGCAGCCAGGUCCCUGCGGCCGGCCGCCACCCCGCCUGCCUGCGGCAGCAUCGUCCUCCUCGUCCUCCUCACCCCCAACUCGCCUUCGCCUCCGCCCUCGGCCCUCGGCAGCACCGCACCGCAAACAGCUCAGCCCCCCGCGACACCGCGGCGCUUCUGAAGCCCGUAUUUAAAAACACGGGUGGUGCGGCCCUGCCCGUCACACCAUAAACAGGGAUGUCUCAGGAGGGUUCCCAAAAUCCAAAAAACAUUGGAGCUGAUCCUGAGGUCCUUCAGUAAUGGAAACAACCCCCAGACCUCUUCACUUCGCUUAAAAACUCUUCCAAGUGGUGCAGGCGCUCCCCCACCUUGCCCACACCUAGGGGGAACUCUGAAAUGCUUCGGUGGCUUUUCAAUUCCUGUAAGUUCAAAGCUUUGAUCACACUGCUGCUACACUUACUGCCUGCAAUUUUGCAGUCUUUACAUUAUAUCUGGUGACAGAGGACUAAAAAUUUCAUUAGAGGGCAGAGAAAAUCAUUAUUUAGCGCUUAUUGGAAAGUUGUGCAUUUUCAUAGAUGGUUUGGAGCUCAGAUUUCUUUUUUUUUUUUUAAAUGCAGCAGAGUGUGAUAUGGAAAUUUUCUUCACCUUAAAGAGCACAACAUCUUUUGCCCCCAAAUAUUCUCACCAAUCCUCUGUGAGCAUUACUAACUGCACUGAUUAACGUCAAAUUAUUGAAGUUUUAUACAAAAAUAUGAGAUGGAAGAAAAGCAAAGAUUUUGCUAUUUAUUCAAAAGUAUUUUAUUUCUAUAAUUUAUUAGUAAAGAUGACUAUGAGCUACACAAAAAUAACUUCAUUCUUUUAGUAAGAGGUGAUGAAUGUCAGGGCGUAUAAAAUAUUAUGAGUGUCGAAUCACUGCGAUAGACAUUUCUGUGGCUGUAUGCUCUGCAUAUGCACACAGGUCUAGCCAACUUUAUGUACAAACAGAAAUACCUAUUUUUAGAAACCAGUCCUAAUUUAAGACAUUCAAGCUAAAGCAAGCGCGAUUCAACACUACACCUCCACCUUUCCCAUUCAUUGCUAUGACUCAAAAUAAAGCACAAUAUUGCUUUCAGUUUUGCUUUUUAACCCUGCCCUGACAUGCGGGGUAUGAAUCCCACAGUACUAACAUACACUCUACUUACAGAAUUGCUAAAAUUGUUACCAAACCCACCUUCCCGGCCCCCGCCCCACCUCGGUGCGAACAAAGCUCUUUGUUCCUGCUCCCACCAAGCAUCUUUAAGCCGGUUUUUGCCUAAAGACCCGCCGGGGCCGCGGGGGCACGUCCGGGCCGGGCUCGCGGCGUCCCCCAGCCCCUGCCCCGGCCCCAGCCCCAGCCCCUGCCCCGGCCCCGGCCCCGGGCCGCCGCGCUUCUCUCCGCACGCAAGUUGGCCUUGAACAUCAGCCGUGCCCCACGAGCAGCGGCUGUCCUCCGCACCUGAGUAAAACGAACUUGAAACAUUGUCUACGCACAGGUCAAGGUCAAUUCAAACUUUUUAAACCUUUAACAACCAUCAAAUUGGAAAGCUGCAGUAGGAAGCGAUGGGGUGAACGACGUGAUGGCCUGGGAGCCGUUAACUUCGGGAGAGAAGCGCUGGCGAUUGUUCCUCCGAGAGAAAGAGCAAACUGAGAAACUCCUGGAGUGUAAACAUGCAAACAAGCUAGGCGUUAUUUAAUCCGUAACGCGCCCCACUGAUGUAACCCUCUCCUAGCGCCCUGAGUUUUCUCCUGAAACAUCAGAAAAGGCCUGAGGAAAAAGGAUAUAUGGCAUUCCCACCGCCGGAGAAACCAAAAACGGAGGGGCAGGGUUCAGCGCCCGGCCCCCGCGGCACCCCGGUGAGGUGCGCAGGGCUGGGCAGGUCUCUCCAGCGCUGGCAGGGGGAGGACAACCACAGCGGGACAAUUUCGGGGAGCAGCAGGAUGCUGGGGGCUGCGGGCUGCUCCGUCCCCGCCAGCGCCAGCCCGGGGAGAGGGACGCGCUGGAUGUGGGAGCGAAACUGCCCUCCGCAGGGGCCAGAUCAUGCCGUUGGAGACCUGGGGGACUUGGUCGGGGCAAAUCCGUGGCCACUCUGAUCCUGUAGUUACACAUCACCUCUCUUUAUGGCCCUGUUAUGUUCCUUUUAAUGGGCCGUCAAGCAGGCCGCACUAAUAAAAUCAGCAUACUCCAGGCACACAGUAUGUUGCCGAACCUGCUGAUGCUGCAGUGGCAAUGAGAAGGUACGCGUUAAUCAUCGCAAGGGGCCAAAUCCUGGUCCUGUUCACGUCAGUGGGAUUUUUGCCAUUGUCCACAAUGAGACUGAAGGUGUGGCCAAAGAGGCAUUUUUCCAUGAGCUUUGUAACAUCAGGCACAAAGCUGGACGGUGGUAGGCUGCGGACUGAUGGAAUAAAAAAUGGCAGUUUAGCACUUUAUCAUACGCAUAUUUACAUGCAACAUCCCAGCAGCGUCUUUUAUAAAACAACUGUGAAAACAAUAAACUAGGAAAAUCAGUCCACAAGCCUUUGAUUAAAGAGGAGAAGACGAGAUGUUCUGUGAGAGUCUCUUGGGUUGUAGCCACAGAGCUGCUACUGACUGGAGCGGGAUUUGCGCAGCUGCGUUCCCAUUCACAUCCCAUUCAGAUUUCUGAAAAUAAAUCUAAGGAUGAUGAUGAACCCACAAAGUCAAGCACACUCCCUUCUGAAAAUCUACCAAAGGGACUUCAAUCAGGAUUCUAAUUUUCUUCUUCCAAAAUUGCUGGCAAAACAUGUGAAAAUACUCUUUCAGGGUGCGCUUUUUUUUGGUCGGCAAAUCAUUUGUUUGCUAAAAACUAUCAUUUCACCAAUCAGAGCAAAACAUAACAAAAAACAUGGGCCCUCAAAGCAAUAAAAAUCUUUCCAGGGGCUUGAGUGCCAUUACUGGAGAAGAAAGGCCUCGUUCCUGUAGGUCAGAUAGAAGGAGGCUCCCCUGGUAUGCAGGAGCCCCUAAGCCCAUCCCUUCUCUACCGAUUCAAGCGCAGACUGGAAUCCACAUCUGCCACCGCCCAAAUGCGGUGCUGUGACGUCUUCCAAGGUAGGUCGUCAGGUGAAGGCACUCCAGGGAGCCCAAGGGAAGACAGAAAAUAAGUUCAAUUAAUCUGUCCCAUGAAUUUUUAUUAAAACGCCUACAGUUGGAGGGAUAAGGAGUGAGAGGCUGGAGCUGCUGAUGAGGUCAUCACAUUUGAAAAAAAUGCAUAUUCCUAUUAAAACUCUAACCUUUUCUUUCCUAUGCAGUCAUCUGCUGCAGAAAUCAGUAUACUGCAGAUGUAUAAAAGGACAAAGGUACUUAUGAAGAUAAUAAUGAUAUAAACUUAAAUUAUAUAAAAAUAAGAGUUGAAAGGC